Triticum aestivum (bread wheat) is the source of this 1876-nucleotide long non-coding RNA. RefSeq lists it as uncharacterized. The record is from RefSeq and is a predicted model, not a curated record. The transcript is spliced from 3 exons. Lineage: Eukaryota; Viridiplantae; Streptophyta; Magnoliopsida; Poales; Poaceae.
AUCUCCUUGCCUAGCAUGCAUUCGCCAUGGCCUUGCGAUGGCUCCAGUUGAUCUUCUCGCCACCAUCACUUGCGGAGCAACACUGGGAUGGUUAAUAUUUGGUCGAUUUCGUGAGUUAGGAGGUUGAUUUCAAUUCAUGAUUUGGGUUAUCUAUAUUAUUCUUUGGGAAGAUCGAUUGUUGGAAAGAUUGACUACAAUUCCCCCUGAUCAUUGCUAAGACCAACACAUUGACGGACGAGCGAUCGAGGUGCUGCAUGCCCUCGUCCAUGCCAAUCCAAUCCGACAAGGAGGCGCGACCGCCAUUGCUCCAUGACAGCGUGGGGCGACACCUUGAAGCUCUUGAUCUGGACCAUCUGGCCCGCCUUCUACCACAUCAUCUUGCAACACAAUAGGUCAUCACCCUGCGUUGGGGAGAAAGAGCCUACAACCCCGACUAUUAGAUUCGUGCUUCCUUUGUAUUGUUUCAGCACAUACUGUCAAAAUUGCUUUUUUGCAAUCCAAAUGCUUGAUUUGCUGCAAGCUGAUUGAAGUCAUGUGCCCGAUAAACAACAACAUUACGAAAAUUUAUUCAAGGUGCGGACAAGAAAUUUGUAUUACAGUUGAACCUUACCAUAUACUGUAUUAUGUUUAAUUCCCCUGAUGGUCAUGUUGUUUUCUUUCUUAACCUUCUCUGAUUAGUGUACUUACUGAAAUAAAUUAUUUCAGUAUAUGUUUGGUCACGAACUGAUCAUACUACUUUUAAUCAACAGAUACUAAGAUGAUAUACAAGUUUGGUCAAAAAUUGGUCAUACUGAGAAAGGUGAUUUCAUUGUUACAUUAUAAUGAAGCCAUUUUCAACGGUUUUCUCUUUUUUGUACUUAAAGUGCUCUUCUCCUAAAAGCUCUUUGUCACACUACCAUCCCGCAGCAACGCACAGGGCAUUAUCUAGUUUUUUUAAUACAUCACACCAACAAUUUGUGUUGCUCCGGAUAAAACAUAUUCUCUUGACAAAGGUUUGGCUUACAAAGGCAUGAAGUUAUCUGUAGCACAUAAUGUAUUUUUUUGUUAAGUCCUUUCUAUAGCUUUUCAUCCUGGUGGUGGAAUAACUACAAUAAACAAGGUAAGGCUCUUAUUCGUACAAAUGGUAUAAUUGGGUCAGUGUGUAUUAUAGCAAAACUCACAUUAAUUAUCUGAUACCUGGACAUUGAGUACAGUCCUUUGACACCUUGAAUCAUUGGGUUUACUCCUUUUUGAUCUCACAAGAUCUUCCUCGCAUGCUUACACCUUGAUGAACUGUACACCAGGAAUUUUUAUAUGAAAAUAAAUAGAAUUCAAUUCUUUGCUGGUGGCAAUGGGUGGAUCAAUUAACCAACUAUCAUGCACCCAUUAUAUCUGGUGCAUAUGCAUUUUUUAUGUAGGCUUGGAACUUUAGACGUGAAAAUUAAUCAUGACCAAAAUUACUUUAAUAGAAUGGAGCAAAUAUGUGAUUUGAAUAUACUGGAAGAAAAAUUCACCGAUUUUUCAGAGAUUAGUAACCCUUUUUUGCUGGUUGUUGUCAAGAUGGCUGAAUAGGUACUCCGGUAGCUGUACUAGGAACAUCUUAUAUUUCAGUUGGUAUCUGUAGUUUCAGAUUGCUAGCUAACGCAACUUAACUUGGAAAGUUCCAGAUAGUUAGCUAAUGAAUCUAUCAUGGAAAAUAUUGUACCAUAUCAUAUUAUGAGUGUAAUUUUGGCUGUCUUUUGUUCGGGUCAUUUUCUUACACUGAUAGCAAACUGUCUUUUCUUUUUAGCGAUUUAUUGUGAAAGUUUAUUUAUCUCUCAUGUUACUGACCAAUCAGUAACCAAUCUGGAUAAAGACUAAGCAGAGAAUAUAAUCUUAGUGAAGACAUUUCAAUGGA